ACUUAUAUAAUUUAAAUUAGAAUCUUGCAUUGAAGCUGCAAAAGUGGCAGUGGCCUGUAGGUA
Molecule: transfer RNA, 63 nt
Filed under: Linuparus trigonus
Lineage: Eukaryota; Metazoa; Arthropoda; Malacostraca; Decapoda; Palinuridae
Description: tRNA-Phe
Source: RNAcentral